RNAcentral lists this ribosomal RNA (254 nucleotides) under uncultured bacterium. Its description in RNAcentral is "partial 16S ribosomal RNA". It matches the Rfam family "Bacterial small subunit ribosomal RNA", at positions 524 to 776 of the family's 1533-position model. The record is from RNAcentral.
CACGUAGGGGGCGAGCGUUGUCCGGAUUUACUGGGCGUAAAGAGCUCGUAGGCGGCUCAGUAAGUCAGGUGUGAAAACUCCAGGCUCAACCUGGAGACGGCACCUGAUACUGCUAUGGCUAGAGUCCGGUAGGGGAGCAUGGAAUUCCUGGUGUAGCGGUGAAAUGCGCAGAUAUCAGGAGGAACACCAGUGGCGAAGGCGGUGCUCUGGGCCGGAACUGACGCUGAGGAGCGAAAGCGUGGGGAGCAAACAGG